This 503-nucleotide long non-coding RNA is filed under the name Ictidomys tridecemlineatus (thirteen-lined ground squirrel). RNAcentral describes it as "lncRNA (ENSSTOG00000031465.1)". Lineage: Eukaryota; Metazoa; Chordata; Mammalia; Rodentia; Sciuridae. The record is from RNAcentral.
UUCUAGAGUGUCUUAACCAUAAGUUAUUGUUUCUUGUCAGUGUGUUGGAAGCUUUAGUGAUCCUCAUAAAGAAACGACUGUCGUGUCUGUUCAACACUCAAUGGAUGAGUUCACAAAGUCCAAAUCUUCCAUAUCAUCCACUUUCACAGAAACUGUAGCAGUCAAACCAGAAGGAAAUUUCACCUCUACAGCAGUCUUAAGGAUAAAAGUAAAUUUCAUUUUAUUCCAGCCUCUACAACCAUCUGUCCCUACAGCCCUGCAGAACCCUUCACCUGCUGUGAUUGAAGAGGCUCCAUAGGUAGUCAUGAAAAUAUAACCGACAAAAAUCACUUCAUCCUCCUAGAACGGAAGGUGUCAGAAUCCUACAGACAGUGCAAUCAGAUGGAGAAAAUAACUGGGGAAGAGAAAACUACAAAAGAGACUUUCAAUAUCUGGAAGAGUGGACGAAAAUGAAGUCAUUACGUAUACUUCAUGAAAAUAAAUGAAUCAAAUGAUGAUGUUCA